UGAGGAAUAUUGGUCAAUGGACGAGAGUCUGAACCAGCCAAGUAGCGUGCAGGAUGACGGCCCUAUGGGUUGUAAACUGCUUUUGUAUGGGGAUAAAGUCAAUCACGUGUGAUUGUUUGCAGGUACCAUACGAAUAAGGACCGGCUAAUUCCGUGCCAGCAGCCGCGGUAAUACGGAAGGUCCGGGCGUUAUCCGGAUUUAUUGGGUUUAAAGGGAGCGUAGGCUGGAGAUUAAGUGUGUUGUGAAAUGUAGACGCUCAACGUCUGAAUUGCAGCGCAUACUGGUUUCCUUGAGUACGCACAACGUUGGCGGAAUUCGUCGUGUAGCGGUGAAAUGCUUAGAUAUGACGAAGAACUCCGAUUGCGAAGGCAGCUGACGGGAGCGCAACUGACGCUUAAGCUCGAAGGUGCGGGUAUCGAACAGGAUUAGAUACCCUGGUAGUCCGCACAGUAAACGAUGGAUGCCCGCUGUUGGUACCUGGUAUCAGCGGCUAAGCGAAAGCAUUAAGCAUCCCACCUGGGGAGUACGCCGGCACGGU
This 538-nucleotide ribosomal RNA is filed under the name uncultured bacterium. RNAcentral describes it as "bacterial SSU rRNA". It matches the Rfam family "Bacterial small subunit ribosomal RNA", at positions 355 to 895 of the family's 1533-position model. The record is from RNAcentral.